This is a long non-coding RNA of Arabidopsis thaliana (thale cress), 207 nucleotides long. RefSeq annotates it as other RNA. The record is from RefSeq. The transcript has a single exon. NCBI's taxonomy places the organism in Eukaryota, Viridiplantae, Streptophyta, Magnoliopsida, Brassicales, Brassicaceae.
CCAAGACCGUAUUCGCGUCCAGAAUCGUAACAUUUUCGAUAAGAUUAAAAAAACCUGCAAAAUCUGGUCCGCACGUUUUUAGCAACACAACAAAGUAUGACGAGAAGUUCCACGAUUUUUGCAGGUAUAGUACAUUCGCUUUUCGCCACCUCAUUGCCUUGGAUUCAUACACUGGAUCGGUUUAAUCUUCUUCUCUGUUUUUCCAUG